This 545-nucleotide ribosomal RNA is filed under the name uncultured bacterium. Its description in RNAcentral is "bacterial SSU rRNA". It matches the Rfam family "Bacterial small subunit ribosomal RNA", at positions 58 to 507 of the family's 1533-position model. The record is from RNAcentral.
CAAGUCGAACGGGCUAGUGCUUCGCACUAGUCUCGUUUCUGGGGUUGUUACUCUAAGGCUACCUGCUGAAGUUAUUGCUUUAAAGCAGGGGUUUUAGGAGGCUUUCUCCGAAAAGGGGCCAGUGCGGAGCACUAGCCAGUGGCGAACGGGUGAGUAACACGUGGGUAAUCUACCCUCGAGUGGGGAAUAAGCUUCCGAAAGGGGGUCUAAUGCCGCAUAACGUUUCAUAACGAUGGUUAUGAAACCAAAGCCCAAAAGGCGCUCGAGGAGGAGCCUGCGUCCUAUCAGCUUGUUGGCAGGGUAAUGGCCUACCAAGGCUAUGACGGGUAGCCGGCCUGAGAGGGUGUCCGGCCACACUGGAACUGAGACACGGUCCAGACUCCUACGGGAGGCAGCAGUGGGGAAUUUUGCGCAAUGGGGGAAACCCUGACGCAGCGACGCCGCGUGGAGGAUGACGGCCUUCGGGUUGUAAACUCCUGUCAGAAGGGACGAAAUCCCGCAAGGGACUGACGGUACCUUCAGAGGAAGCCCCGGCUAACUACGUG